AUGCCACAAGUUCUUUCUCCUCCUGAUCAUCUUCCUAUGCAGGGUCGAACUCUUAAGUCGGAUUUGCUCAUUACGGGGACCAAAAUAUUUUCUGACGCUGCUUUCAGAAGUUCAGAAGUUCCUGGUCUAUUACAGGGAGCAGUUGCUACUGGAAUAGGGGUCUAUCUUGUUUUGCCUCAAGAUCGUUUUGAAAUCAAUGUGCAAAUUCAAGCAUCAGCUCCUCCCACUACUUCUCCUCUACAUGCAGAAGCUCUGGCUCUUUCUUUUGCAGCUCAAGUGGCUAGUAAGCUCAAUAUUUGGCAGCCAACCUUUCUCAUGGAUUGUUUCUCUUUAUCUUUGGUGGCUGCUACCGGCAAGAUUAUGGAAUCUACCACCCCUUGGAGCAUCAGGAAGCCUUUGGCUGAUUUCUUCAAGCAUGCUAACAACUUGCAACCUCGAGUGUUUCACAUUUCUAGGGAAAUUAAUGGCAUAGCACACAAUGUAGCUCACCAGGUUCUUCAUUCUAGGGUUGAACCUCAAGUUUGUUGCUUCGCUUCAGCUCAUAGACAUAGUUCCUGUCCUGUGCUGUCUCUUCUCUCAAAUUUUCAGGUUCAGGAGUUUGUAAUUCACGCUGUACACUGUUUCUGA
RNAcentral lists this ribosomal RNA (627 nucleotides) under Triticum aestivum (bread wheat). RNAcentral's name for it is "partial small subunit ribosomal RNA". The record is from RNAcentral. Lineage: Eukaryota; Viridiplantae; Streptophyta; Magnoliopsida; Poales; Poaceae.